Camellia sinensis is the source of this 692-nucleotide non-coding RNA. The record is from RefSeq and is a predicted model, not a curated record. NCBI's taxonomy places the organism in Eukaryota, Viridiplantae, Streptophyta, Magnoliopsida, Ericales, Theaceae.
UUGCAUUGAUACCCAUAAAAAAUUGAUCUGAUUUUUAGAGGCUAUUUUGUUUUGCAGGUUUAUGUACUGUCAAAGCUUCUGACUGAGGAAGCAGCAUUCCAAUUUGCUAAUGAGAACAGCAUUGAUCUUGUGUCAGUCAUAACCACAACUGUUGCUGGUCCAUUCCUCACUUCAACAGUUCCAACAAGCAUUCAAGUUCUCUUGUCGCCAAUAACAGGCGACUCUAAAUUCUCUCGUAUCUUAUCUGCUGUGAAUUCAAGAAUGGGGUUAAUCGCUUUAGUUCAUAUCGAAGAUAUAUGCAGUGCCCACAUAUUCCUCAUGGAACAUGACGGAGCAGAAGGUCGAUACAUAUGCUCUGCCCACAGUUCUGUAAUAUCUCAACUGGUUGAUCAUCUUGCUAAAGAGCACCCUUUCUCAAAUAUGCAGAGGUUUGUAGAGGAAGAACAUGGCUCAGUCCCCUCCGAGAUUUCUUCAAAGAAGUUAAGAGAUUUGGGUUUUAAUUUCAAGUUCGGCUUGGAAGAUAUUAUACACCAUAUUGUUAAUUCUUGUGUAGAUUGUGGCUUUUUGUGUCCUACUGUAAACUAGAUUGCGCCAAUAUAGGCACAGAAUGAAACAAAUUUUCAAGGGACAGUUUUUACGUAAUUGUAAUAAAAUAAAUAAAUAAAAUCAAAACGCCUGAAUAGUUGCUGAUA